Long non-coding RNA from Drosophila yakuba, 857 nucleotides. RefSeq lists it as uncharacterized. The record is from RefSeq and is a predicted model, not a curated record. NCBI's taxonomy places the organism in Eukaryota, Metazoa, Arthropoda, Insecta, Diptera, Drosophilidae. The transcript has 2 exons.
AGACCUGAAAAAAAUAUAUGUUUAUACAUAUAGUGUUAGCAUCUGCAAUACAUAAAUACUAAACUACUUUAGUCAACCCUUACUAGUAUAUGAAGUUAAUGUAAUACAUAUUAGAGGAUAUAGAUAGCUGUUCCAAUAUGAAUUUUGUUCUUCUGAACCCUUUGCAGAAAAGAUGUCCUCAUAUGUUUAGAGAAGUCGAUCAUUCCUGUGUGCAUUGAUCUCUAAAUAUAUACAUUAUUCUUUACGUGAACAAAAAUAAAUAUAAAAUGAGUUAUACAUAUAAUAUAGACAAAUUAAGUGAGUCAAAUUAUGAUUCGUGUUGUGUGCAGAUGAAAAGUGUAUUUGUGCAUCCAGAGCUGUGGUUAGUAGCCACAAGAAUAAUUUAAAAAUUUUCAAACUAAAAGAAGAAAAGGCCUUAGAAGCAAUUACGCUUAAACCAGUGAGCUAGCAAACACAAAAUGUUAAUCUAGCAAAGAAGCCUCGACACUAUUAAAAGAUAUGCAUCUGCCGUCGGGACCUGUGAGAAUAGUGCCAUUGUUUAACAAAUUUGAAAAUACAGUUGCUCAAAAAAAGGGAACGCCGAAAAAAUUGUGACUGUUAUUUUGUGAAAAAGAAUUAAAGCGCUGAAUCGAAUAACGCUGAAAGAGGGCUGAAAAAUUAUCAACGGUCCAAAAAUGUCAGCUUUAAAUUUGAGCAAUAACACUUCACUUUACAAAAAUAUAUGGUGUUUAGAUAGUGGAGCGACGGCUCACAUAUGCAUGCGGCGGGAAUUAUUUGAUCGGUUCGAAAAAUAAAAUAAUAAAAUAAAUCUCGCUGGCAACAAAUAUGUUCAUGCAGAAGGUCGUGGAAACAUAAAA